GAUGAACGCUGGCGGCGUGCCUAAUACAUGCAAGUCGAGCGAACGGAUGAGAAGCUUGCUCCUCUGAUGUUAGCGGCGGACGGGUGAGUAACACGUGGAUAACCUACCUAUAAGACUGGGAUAACUUCGGGAAACCGGAGCUAAUACCGGAUAAUAUUUUGAACCGCAUGGUUCAAUAGUGAAAGACGGUUUUGCUGUCACUUAUAGAUGGAUCCGCGCUGCAUUAGCUAGUUGGUAAGGUAACGGCUUACCAAGGCAACGAUGCAUAGCCGACCUGAGAGGGUGAUCGGCCACACUGGAACUGAGACACGGUCCAGACUCCUACGGGAGGGAGCAGUAGGGAAUCUUCCGCAAUGGGGGAAAGCCUGACGGAGCAACGCCGCGUGAGUGAUGAAAGUCUUCGGAUCGUAAAACUCUGUUAUUAGGGAAGAACAUAUGUGGAAGUAACUGUGCACAACUUGACGGUACCUAAUCAAGAAGCCACGGCUAAAUACGUG
RNAcentral lists this ribosomal RNA (497 nucleotides) under uncultured bacterium. RNAcentral's name for it is "partial 16S ribosomal RNA". It matches the Rfam family "Bacterial small subunit ribosomal RNA", at positions 28 to 507 of the family's 1533-position model. The record is from RNAcentral.